Molecule: unclassified non-coding RNA, 209 nt
Filed under: Hevea brasiliensis (rubber tree)
Lineage: Eukaryota; Viridiplantae; Streptophyta; Magnoliopsida; Malpighiales; Euphorbiaceae
Source: RNAcentral
GUUAAAAUAUAAUUAUGCUUUUUAUUUGCUUAAUUAAAAUUUUAAUUUUAACAAAAGAUAAAUUUUACUUCGAAAGUGCAUAUCAAAAUUAUGAAAAAUGGAUAGGAAAAAAUGAUAUAAUAUUUUUAUGUUAUUAUGAAUGAUAAAAAAAUUAUGAGCUGCCCCUCCUUGCAUGCCGCUGACUGUCUAUAUACGGGCUUUCUGAGAAU